UGCAUGUCUAAGUAUAAGCAAUUAUACAGCGAAACUGCGAAUGGCUCAUUAUAUAAGUUAUCGUUUAUUUGAUAGUACCUUACUACUUGGAUAACCGUGGUAAUUCUAGAGCUAAUACAUGCUAAAAAUCCCGACUUCGGAAGGGAUGUAUUUAUUAGAUUAAAAACCAAUGCCCUCUGGGCUCCUUGGUGAUUCAUAAUAACUUUUCGAAUCGCAUGGCCUUGCGCCGGCGAUGGUUCAUUCAAAUUUCUUCCCUAUCAACUUUCGAUGUUUGGGUAUUGGCCAAACAUGGUCGCAACGGGUAACGGAGGGUUAGGGCUCGACCCCGGAGAAGGAGCCUGAGAAACGGCUACUACAUCCAAGGAAGGCAGCAGGCGCGCAAAUUACCCAAUCCCGAUUCGGGGAGGUAGUGACAAUAAAUACUGAUACAGGGCUCUUUUGGGUCUUGUAAUUGGAAUGAGUACAAUUUAAAUCCCUUAACGAGGAACAAUUGGAGGGCAAGUCUGGUGCCAGCAGCCGCGGUAAUUCCAGCUCCAAUAGCGUAUAUUAAAGUUGUUGUGGUUAAAAAGCUCGUAGUUGAACCUUGGGCCUGGCUGGCCGGUCCGCCUCACCGCGUGUACUGGUCCGGCCGGGCCUUUCCCUCUGUGGAACCUCAUGCCCUUCACUGGGUGUGGCGGGGAAACAGGACUUUUACUUUGAAAAAAUUAGAGUGCUCCAGGCAGGCCUAUGCUCGAAUACAUUAGCAUGGAAUAAUAAAAUAGGACGUGUGGUUCUAUUUUGUUGGUUUCUAGGACCGCCGUAAUGAUUAAUAGGGACAGUCGGGGGCAUCAGUAUUCAAUUGUCAGAGGUGAAAUUCUUGGAUUUAUUGAAGACUAACUACUGCGAAAGCAUUUGCCAAGGAUGUUUUCAUUAAUCAGGAACGAAAGUUAGGGGAUCGAAGACGAUCAGAUACCGUCGUAGUCUUAACCAUAAACUAUG
This 978-nucleotide ribosomal RNA is filed under the name Cordyceps javanica. RNAcentral's name for it is "SSU rRNA". It matches the Rfam family "Eukaryotic small subunit ribosomal RNA", at positions 52 to 1041 of the family's 1831-position model. Lineage: Eukaryota; Fungi; Ascomycota; Sordariomycetes; Hypocreales; Cordycipitaceae. The record is from RNAcentral.